GAUGAACGCUGGCGGCGUGCUUAACACAUGCAAGUCGAACGGAAAGGCUCCAGCUUGCAGGGGUACUCGAGUGGCGAACGGGGGCGUAACACGUGGGUGAUCUGCCCUGCACUUCGGGAUAAGCCUGGGAAACUGGGUCUAAUACCGGAUAGGACCACACUUUGGAUGGAGAGGUGGAAAGUUUUUCGGUGUGGGAUGAGCACGCGGCCUAUCAGCUUGUUGGUGGGGUAAUGGCCUAUCAAGGAGUCGGCGGGUAGCCGGCCUGAGAGGGUGUACGGCCACAUUGGUCCUGAGAUACGGCCCAGACUCCUACGGUAGACAGCAGUGGCGAGUCUGGCACAAUGGUCGCGCGCCUGAUGCAGCGGCGCCGCGUGUGUGAUGACGGCCUUCGGGUUGUAAACUCCUUUCGCUAGGGACGAAGCGCAAGUGACGGUACCUGGAGAAGAAGCACCGGCUAACUACGUG
RNAcentral lists this ribosomal RNA (465 nucleotides) under uncultured bacterium. Its description in RNAcentral is "partial 16S ribosomal RNA". It matches the Rfam family "Bacterial small subunit ribosomal RNA", at positions 28 to 507 of the family's 1533-position model. The record is from RNAcentral.